RNAcentral lists this long non-coding RNA (1113 nucleotides) under Homo sapiens (human). RNAcentral's name for it is "long intergenic non-protein coding RNA 293". Lineage: Eukaryota; Metazoa; Chordata; Mammalia; Primates; Hominidae. The record is from RNAcentral.
ACAGAACAGACAUUGUGACAUAUAUCUAGGCAAAUUGCCUAGAAGUGAAUCCCCUCUCCUGCUUAAGUCCUUCCCACAGAGAGCGGUUUGAUAUGUCACUGAAACCAGCAUCCAGGUGGUAUUGCUCCAUAUGCCUGAGACCCUAACAAAAGCCUAAUUACAACUCAUAUGCCUGGAGCCAGGACAUGUGCAGGAUGACUCUGCCAAGAGAGGGGAUUAUUACAUAUUGCAGAGCCCAGCACCUAGGUGGAGUGACUCUCAUCUUUUUCUUCUACCCCGUAUAUAGCCAGCUUGGUGACCUACUAUUUGAGUCUAUACCCAGGCCCAGACCACAGAUGAAAUUGUGCAAUAUGUGGAACAAACACCUAAACAAUAUAUAACACCUUCCUUGGCUCUGUCUACAAAGGGCACUUUUAUAUAUCACUGGGACCAUCAACCAGGUGAUGUUAAUUAUCUUCCUGAAACCUGUCUACAAAGAGAGUUGUGUCGUAUACCUAGGCCCGUCAUGUGAUGUUGUGCCAUAUAACUGAGACCGUAUCAAAAGCCUAAUAACAAGACGUAUGUCUGGAGCCCCGAUAUGCACAGGAUGGUGAUAUAACCCUCUUCUCUGGAAUGGGCCCCACACAAAGGAAGGAUAGUGACAUAUUGCAAGCCCAGGCACACAGGCCCAGAGCACAGUUGAAAUUGUGACAUAUGUACACCAAGCAACCAAGCAAUGUAUAACACCUCAUUUGGCAAUGGAAUCGAGGGCACUUUUACAUAUCACUGAGACCAGCGCCCAGCUGAUGUGAAAUAUUGGCCUGAACCCUGCCUACAAAAGCAUUGUGGCUUUUAUCUAGCUCCAUUACAUAAGUGAUGUGACUUCCUUCUACUGCCUUGGCCCUGCACUUAUGGUGAAUCGUGACACAAAAUUGGGUAGAGCAACCAGCCUGGGCCCUGACCAGCACAGAGAUUGAGGCAUAUUGCUGAACCCAGGACCAAGAUGAAGUCACUCUCCUGCCUUGAUCCUGCACACAGGGACCCUUGUGACAUAUAUACAGGCCAAUUGCCUAGGUGAUGUUGUGCAAUAUACCUGAGACCAGAUCAAUGGCCUAAUAAUGACUCUUUUACCUA